AGCUUUGCGCAGUGGCAGUAUCGUAGCCAUAAUGUGGCUUUAUCCGAGAUUUAUCCGAGGCGCGAUUAUUGCUAAUUGAAAACUUUUCCCAAUAAUAUUUUCAAAAGUAUUCAAAAGGCUGUUUGUGUUCAUGAGAAAGAAAGAAAACUUCCUGCAAAUCAGAAG
Molecule: small nuclear RNA, 165 nt
Filed under: Zalophus californianus (California sea lion)
Lineage: Eukaryota; Metazoa; Chordata; Mammalia; Carnivora; Otariidae
Description: U4 spliceosomal RNA (ENSZCAG00015023834.1)
Rfam family: U4 spliceosomal RNA
About the family: U4 small nuclear RNA (U4 snRNA) is a component of the major U2-dependent spliceosome. The structure of U4 snRNA from yeast and human has been reported. U4 snRNA presents a k-turn RNA motif in the 5p-SL related to recognition of Snu13 protein.
Source: RNAcentral